GCCUGGAUAGCUCAGUUGGUUAGAGUGUGGUGCUCAUAACACCAAGGCUGCAGGUUCGAUCCACGUAUGGGGCA
This is a non-coding RNA of Podarcis lilfordi (Lilford's wall lizard), 74 nucleotides long. The record is from the annotation of a GenBank genome assembly. Lineage: Eukaryota; Metazoa; Chordata; Lepidosauria; Squamata; Lacertidae.